Molecule: ribosomal RNA, 429 nt
Filed under: Pseudomonadota bacterium
Lineage: Bacteria; Pseudomonadati; Pseudomonadota
Description: Proteobacteria bacterium partial 16S ribosomal RNA
Rfam family: Bacterial small subunit ribosomal RNA
Source: RNAcentral
UGGGGAAUAUUGGACAAUGGGCGAAAGCCUGAUCCAGCCAUGCCGCGUGUGUGAAGAAGGUCUUCGGAUUGUAAAGCACUUUAAGUUGGGAGGAAGGGCAGUAAGCGAAUACCUUGCUGUUUUGACGUUACCGACAGAAUAAGCACCGGCUAACUCUGUGCCAGCAGCCGCGGUAAUACAGAGGGUGCAAGCGUUAAUCGGAAUUACUGGGCGUAAAGCGCGCGUAGGUGGUUCGUUAAGUUGAAUGUGAAAGCCCCGGGCUCAACCUGGGAACUGCAUCCCAAACUGGCGAGCUAGAGUAGGGCAGAGGGUGGUGGAAUUUCCUGUGUAGCGGUGAAAUGCGUAGAUAUAGGAAGGAACACCAGUGGCGAAGGCGACCACCUGGGCUCAUACUGACACUGAGGUGCGAAAGCGUGGGGAGCAAACAGG